GGAUCAAACUGUAUCGCCUGCAAACAGAAGUAAGGAGUAUUGCUGUCACCGACCAAAAAGGUGGUCAGAAGAAUAUGCAAAAUCGCACCACGAGCAACACGGGACCUUCCUCCAGGCUGAAUAAGCUAAAUGAACUUCAAUUUUUAAAAAGAGGCCAUUUCAUCGACCUUGAAAAUUCCAUUCAUCAUCUCAAAAGGGCACACCAUCUUCCUAGAAAUGACAACAGACAGAAUGGGUAUGACACCCUGGGGAGAAGCCAAGGGAGUGGAAGAUCCACUAGACAAUGGGAAAAUCUACGACAGCAGUCCUUUAGUACAUCAGUACUAUUAUUGUCUUUAAUGCCGGGAAGAUGGUAUCUACGAUGUUUAGAGGCUCAUGCAAUGUAACACCAGGGAUACUUUAAUUUGGAUAACCUAAAAUGAAGAGACUUAGGAGAGGAAUAUGAAGAUAAUUUUAAAAUGAAUAUGAGAAGACAAAGAAUUCACUGUAAUAUUUCCUGGCCCAUUUAAUACAUCAGAAAUUUCCAUGAAGCACAUACUUGACAGUAUUCUAAAAAGUAUAAAAUAUGCAAAUAAAAGAGGCUAUCCUAU
Callorhinus ursinus (northern fur seal) is the source of this 590-nucleotide long non-coding RNA. RefSeq lists it as uncharacterized. The record is from RefSeq and is a predicted model, not a curated record. NCBI's taxonomy places the organism in Eukaryota, Metazoa, Chordata, Mammalia, Carnivora, Otariidae.